Non-coding RNA from Xyrichtys novacula (pearly razorfish), 9893 nucleotides. The record is from the annotation of a GenBank genome assembly. NCBI's taxonomy places the organism in Eukaryota, Metazoa, Chordata, Actinopteri, Labriformes, Labridae.
AGAGGACAUUUGGACCUUCCUCUGUGGGUACCUGCAGUCUGUAAUGACUCUGUUGUUCUGCCGUUAGAGCAGAGGAAUUACCGUCUGUUCCUGCUGAUAACGGAGCAGCUGCUGCAGUAACCGGUCACUUCAGCCUCAGUCUGUCCGCUCACCAUGCCUCACAGCCGGACUCUCAGAGUGGACACCGACCGGGUCACCAGCGUCCUGUACGUGGUCGGCUCGGAGCUUAACGUCAACCUGAACAGGUAGACUGUUGACCGACACACACACACACACACACACACACACACACACACACACACACACACACACACACACACACACACACACACACACACACAGAGAGUUAGUGAGAGGACUGUUUUCUGCAGCUUUGUUGGAGAUUUCAUCUGUUUUAAAAACAGUUUGUCAGUAAAUAUUUUAUUUUUUGAUAUUUAAUUCAAUUAAAUUCUAAUUUCAUUGUCCAGCAGCAUUCAGCUAACUUGAUAUACCCUUUGUGUAAUGUUAUAUUAUCAUGUUAUUCUUAUAAAGUGACUAAAACAAACCAGACAGUUAGAACUGUCAGCUUAACAGAUGAAGUUUAUUCCCCGAUUCUCUAUUUUUAAUUUAAUGAUAAUCAUAAAGGUUGUUAAUAAUACAGUAUAAACACACCAAAUUCAUGUCUUUUGUUUAAUAUGAGGUUUUCAAAGGUUUUCCACUGUGUAGGUCACGAACUGUCUCACACUUGAAUCAUGAAUCACACCUGAAUCAUUGAGAACCCCUGCCCUGAGUGUAAAUAUACCUUAUCCUGUGAAAAACAGCUUUUUUCCCUACUGUUUACUGACUAAGAACAUGAGGCGCAGCAACACACAAAAAAUGACAAUAAAGACCUUAAACUGUUAAAGCUGAAACUCUAUGUUUUUAACAAUGGGACCAAUUGUUGGACCUCUAAAACUCAGAACCUGGUCUCCUGCCAAAGUGUUGAUGGAGUCUGGUUUCCAGAAAAGGUUGGCCCACCCAAAAUGAGAGUAAACAUGUCUUUGUCUCAACAGUUUUGAAAACCUGUCGCUGGAUUAACAUCUUUUAAUAAACUAAUUUUCAGUUACAUUAAAGCUGAAAUUAUUACCAAAACAUCAAAUUCAUCUUCAACAACAUUUUACAGUGGUUCCCAUCCUUUUUGAAUUGGGGUUGCAUAACUCAAACAAUUGUUCACUACCAAAAUUCACUGGUAUAGAAAAUUGUUCACUUGUAUAAAAUCAAUGAAAGGUUUUUGGAAUUGCACCUAAAGUUUAGUUGAGUUAUACUGUAAGCAAUAACCUUAAUCUGUGGAUAAGCUGGAGGGUAACAAUGUCAUAACAACAGUUUUUGAACACUAACUUCAUGAUUCAGUCAGUCAUUGAACUUUUAUUUCCAACAACACUGAGUCAUAUUACAGAAGCAGCUAAAAAGGAGGCAAAGUAUUGAUAGAAGAAAAUACUGACUGAUUAAAAGUCUCAGAAAUCAGCAAAUAGUGAAAUUUCUUACUUGAAAGUAAUGAAAGUGAAAGUGGAUUAAAAACAAGAUAAAUAAGAUAGGGCAAAAAUUAUAUACUAACUGAAGUUUAAGGCUAAAAUCAAAUGUUGAAAAUGUUGAAAUAGUAAAAGUGCAUUUAGGCCAAAAAGUUGCUGCAACUUUUUCCCAGGAGUCAGAGUUUGAAGUUUGGAUUCUGCUGUUUUGUACUUGGUGCCUAAUAAACUGGCACUGACUGUGUAAGAACUCUAUUGUAAACCCAUACGGGGAGCUGGGGGUGGAUGUCAUUAGUAUGCAUAAAGUGGCGAGGGCAGACUUCACGCCCUUUGUUUGGUACAGAAGCAACAGUCCUCUUUUGUUUCCGUCCAACUGGAGGCACGUUGUUCUCCCCCCAAAAAUCAGGCUGCACCAAAUAUUCACAUUUCAGCAAACUAGGACUUCAUAGAAAAAGUUUAACAAGCUUUUUCACGUGGCUUUGGACAACUUAAGGAUGGACAUUUCAGCAUUUCAAUCCGUUUUUUAAUGAUCUCAGGAAAUACUGUUUUUUUGGGGGGGAUUCACCGUUUCUGAUUUUCAUUUUGAAAUGAAGAAAAAAAACGUUAAACAAAUGUGGCCUGAAGUAUGCAAUUUUACUCCCUUUUUCACGUAAGUUACAAAAAGGGAACAUUUUCACCGUAAUCUAACCUGCCGAGAUACACCGGCCUACACUCACAUAUAGAACCAGAUUAUAUUAGACCCUCAAGGACUCUGAGGGGAUUUAAAGCUGUCCAAAAAUAAAGGGUCUGGUAUCAUUAGAAGUGGAACACAUCCCAGUGGACUUGUCAUGUAGAGGUAAACAGCUAUUCUUGACAUCUGUAAAUGGAGUGUCUAAAUCUGGUGUCAUAACACAGCAGCAAAAAAAGCUGACGCCUGGAAAACCUGAGAGCCAGUGGGAGCAGUUGACUCAGGAGUCCUGCGUAUGAGCGUAUGGGAAAGUUGUUGACUGGGACACAUGGCACAAAGUUUCAGAUACAGACAGUAUUAAAGGGAACGUCCUUAAAACUUACUUCUUCCCAGUCUCUGCUCCUAAUCAAUAAAAGUGUUGUUUGUUAAACUUUGAUGCAGCUGACUUUCUGAUAUGAAAUAUCUACGACUGUGUGUCACACACACACACCUGCUUCAGUAAUCAGGAGUAACCAUGCGUACACAUUUCCCGCUCUUGGUCUUUGCAGGAGUGCCCCACCCACCUCCAAGUUCUUCUCGGUGAAAUGCACCCCCAAGGUUCAGUACAGCAUCAGUCCGAUACCUCAGGAGACGUCCCACCUGUCCCCCCUCCCUCUCCAUGGAAACCAGCUGCUGCUCAUCAGCAUGAGUCAGGCCAGUGAACAUGAGAAUGAUUGCAAAGUAAGGAUGGAAAUACGAGCAUGUCUCAGUAAAUCUGUGAAAAUGUGUUAAAUAAGCAGAAUGAGGUGAAUUCUUCAGAAGAAUUUACACAAUAUAAUUCAAACUGAAGUGCAAACAUGUCAGAGUUUAUCGGAACUUUGAUAGAAUAGUUACUGGGUGUUGUGCAAUGAAAUCAAUCAGCUCAGUCAAAAAUGUAGAACUCCUUAACUACAGACUGGCUCUAAGAGAAAGAUUUCACUUGAUUUAACUAAAAUAACAAGUAUAUGUGUUUUUAACAUGUUUAACAAGUUGUUUUUGUUCAUCUCUGUUUUCAGCUCUCUGUCAGGUACUAUGGAGAGAAUAAACAGAUUCUGGGGGUGGCAAUCAUACACCUGACUGCUGUUGGUAAGUUUAUUUGCUUUCAAACGAAACUGAUGAAUUAAAAAAAAUAUAUAAUAAUAAUAAUAAUAAUAAUAAUAAUAAUAAUAAUAAUAAUAAUAAUAAUAAUAGUGAUGAUAUUUGCUUAAAUUUGGAGUUAUAACUUUCCUUUUUGCUGACGUGUGUUCAAAGUCAUGAGUCAUGAACACAAACCAGGCAGUGUUUGGAAAUCUAGAUGUACACAUGAACAGAAAUCAUGCCUUAGAAAUGUAGACAGACACUCGUUUGAAAAUGAAGGCUGUGAUUUGAACCUUCAAGUGUUAUCUUUAGUUCAUAUUGGCGCCCUGUGAUAAAUGUUUGUGUCACACAGAGAUCUCUCUGGAUGUGGACGCCGACAGAGACGGUGAAGUAGAAAGAAACAACCCGAACAAGGUGAGGUCCAGAGUGUCAGUGUGAGACGACCUUUACAUGUGCUCGGCUAUUUUUAUAAACAGAUAUUUCACCCUCUCUAUUUGCAAGAAAAAACAAAAAACUGCGUGCACACCCCUACGUUUUCAGAAAAGUUUGGGUUUACACUUACCCAUGUAUACAUGCCGUCAAGAGCGUGCCAAACUCACGUUAGCCAAUCAGAAUCAAUGAUGUGUUCGUCAGCAGAGAAAAAUGUGGCCUUUUUGAACGUCGAUUUAUACCUUCAGACUGAUGUCCUCACCUCCAUGCCAGCUGCUCUCCCUAAUGCUGGCCUUAAUUAACCAGAAAUGAGAAAUUAGAAAGUGGGUUUUAAAUUUCGGCGCUGUUGUGUGUGAAAGAUAGUUAGAGACGCCAAGACCCGCCUUACGUUGCCUCUGAUUGGUUCAUACUGCGUGGUGCCUUCUGUGGUUGGUUAGAUUUAGGCACAAAGGACUGAUGGAUCAGUCUGGGAUUGGUUAUCUCGGUCAGUCAAUCAGAAGUUUGUUAUUGUAAAAAAAAUCAAUACAGAUUAUUGAACGGGGAAAAAUAAGCGUGAGAAAUGUCAAGUGUGGCGUGUGAGAACAGGUCAAACUGUGUGACUGUCACACUCAAAGCGUGAUGCUGGGCGGCUCUGCUCCUAAUGUUGUUAAAUGUUUUUGUGUUUUGACUCUGGGGUCGGUGUCUUCAUUCUUGUGCAGGUUCAGGCGGUCUCAUUAACCCUUUCAUACUCUGUAAAACUGUUCAGGGCUCCUGGAAAUGGGGUCCAGACGGGCACGGAGCCAUCCUAUUGGUCAACUGUGACUCUGAGCGGAGGUUUUGGAAGAAACCAGACCUUGAGGAGGACUCAGUCUCCAAAGUUUCGGGUUAAGUCAAAGAAGUUAGGCUGAUACACCACCCAACGUGAAACCAGCUUCAUAAAGAACUAGAGUAUCUGAUUGAUUUUGGUGGAUCAUAUCUUUAAAACUGAGUCUGAUCUUUAAGUCGCCCUCACUCUUUGUCCUCACACAGAUCUGAAGGACAUGUCACUCAUGGUGCUGAGGACCAAAGGCCCCCCCACGCUCCCUCAGGGCUACAAGCUCACCAUGCACAUCUCUCAGAGCGACGCAGAGAGUGUCCGAGUCUUCAGGUCCAGUUCUCUGAAGGCUCCAAACAGCGUGUGUGAGUACAGACGGAUGAAGACGGUCUCAGGGGAGAUGAUAAUACAUUCAACUCUCAUUUUCUGCUGCUCCUCCUCCUCCAGUGGGGAAUCUCCUGUACAGCCUCUUCGUUAAGAGCUUUCCUCUGGUUCUGAGCGGGGAGGUUUUAUCCCAGGAGGUCCCUUACUCUGGAGGAGAUGCAGAGCUGAACUUUUACGUGGAGGGCCUCAGGUUUCCCGACAAAGACUUUGAUGGAUUUGUCAGCAUCAGCCUCAGUCUGUUGGAGCCCAUAGCUGAGGUAAGAUCAGCGUUGGUGAUGUCCUAUAAGGAAUCAGUCUUAUCCUCUGAACCCUCACAUUCACUCAGCAGACAGUUUUUCUUUCUGACAUCUCACCUGAGUCGGCACAGAUGUUUACUUCUAACGGUUUUUUCGUGUUGUUGUGUUGUUGACACUUUUUGUCCAUUUCUUUGUGUUUGUCUGUUUCAUUUCUUCACAAAGAGGGUGUGUAGCUGUCAGUACUUCAGUGUCCUUCUUGUGUCCACAGAGUGUUCCUGAUACUCCUAUUUUCACCGACAGAGUCGUGUUCAGAGUGGCUCCAUGGAUCAUGACUCCCAACACCCUCCAGCCCAUGGAGGUGUUUAUCUGCAGGUGAGAGCAGCACACUGAGGACGAGUACAACAGCUGAGAGGGGACAGACAUGUCCACAGAAUGAUGGUUUAAAGUCUCAAUACUUCACUUCCCUGUUUAAAGCUCAAAAUGAUGAAUCAUGAUUGCAGUAACAUCUGACUUCCUCCUUUGAAACUUCUCAGACUUUUUCUUUGUUAAUGAAAAUGAACCGGAGUUCUCUGAAACGGCUCCUGUUUGUGUUUCUCUCCAGGACGGAGGAUAACUACACGCUGCUGAAGGAGAUGAAAGACAUGGCUGUGAAGAGCGGCUGUCAGCUGAAGGUUUGCCCUCAGUUCGUGAACAGAGGAGAUCGAUGGAUGCAAGUGAGAAACCUGACGUGUUCAUUCAUUUUUAGACACCUGUAAUCUGACGUUUCCCUCUUCUUCAUCGCGUUACCGAGUCUGAGGUGUCGGAUUUUUAUGACCUUAUCUGAACUGUGAAGAGAAGUGAGAGAGACGGACUCAGAGAGCUCCUGUGUCAAGGUCAUUGGGGUCAUUCACAGCAUCCUUUGUACGAGUCCAGUCAUGACUGAUCUGAUAAUUUAGAGUACAGUAACAGUAACAGUAAAAGUGGUUCAUCGUUCUGAAUGACCACAUGAUGAAACAAAACAGGAAAUGAGACGAGUGAAAUCUUCACAGAAGAAGGAAGGAACUGCUUCUCUGGAAGUGGGCUAAUCAGUAGAGAUGACAGAGUUCACGUCGAGAAGAUAAGAUAAGAUCGUCCUGUAUUAGUCUCACAGGGGGAAGUUUUAAAUGACAGCAGCAAAAAAAUACAAAAGAGAAAUUCAAGAAUAAAGAAACGUAGAGUUUAAAAAAAGAAUGAAAGGAAAAAUAAUUCAAAUAAAAUCUCAUUUAAAAAAUACACUUUAGAAAUAAAACUCAUACUUGUGUGUUUUCAGGAUGAGCUGGAGUUUGGUUACGUGGACUCCCCUCAUCAGCAGUUUCCUGUUGUUCUGGAUUCGCCUCGAAACGGACCUCUGAAGGACUUUCCUUAUAAUCAGCUGCUGGUGAGAGACCUAAACCCUCAUCCUGGACCUGUUGAAGGACUCACACUCCAAUCUGACCAGAGUCUUGAUUUCCAGGACUCCUGAUCUGAGUUCAUCUUCAGCCCUAAAGUCUCUGACUUGUUCUCAGACUCAGAAGAUGCAGACUUCUUGUUUUCGCUGUUAUUUAAAUAUGAAGUUUGAUAAGCUCAAAGUUAAAGAGACACCUGACAACAACACGUGUCUCUUCAGUGUUUCCUCACUCAAACCUGACGCCAUGUUUUUGUAUUUUGUCCCAUAACCGCUCUCACGUCCUCAGGGCCCUGACUUCGGCUACGUUACAAGACCAGCCCACAGAGAAGAAGUGACCAGUCUGGACUCUUUCGGGAACCUGGAGGUCAGUCCUCCGGUCACCGUGAAUGGAAAGCACUAUCCCUUAGGCAGGAUCAUCAUCGGAGUGGCCUUUCCUACGUGAGUGUCUCAAAGAUCCAGAGAAGAGUCUCAGACUUUUGAGGAGGAUGAAUAAUCCAUGUUGGAGCGGCUCUUUAAACUCUGUCUCUUCUCAAAGGGCAGAGACGGGACGCAACAUGACCAAAGUAGUUCAGGACUUCCUGUGGGCCCAAAAGGUUCAGGAGCCGGUGGCUCUGUUUUCUGAUUGGCUGUUUGUGGGACAUGUUGAUGAGUUCAUGACCUUUGUUCCUGCACCUGACAGAAAGGUAAAUAGUCUCUUUAACCGCCAACAAAGAAAUUAAAAUCUAAAAGAAGUGGUUUCAGUUGAUUUAUGGCAGAUGUGACACGUGCACUUUUUUAAUGAAUAGAUUUAAAUGCAGCCCAGAGCGUCUGCACGGCAGUGUUAACUCUUUACACAGGCUUGGUGGGUUAGAUGAUGCAUCUCACCACCAAAGUUUGUGAGGGUAGGGGUCUGUCCUGCCCUGUGAAAAGUUAAUAAACAGAAGUUAAACCUAUAUUUACCUGAAAACAGACGACAAAGACGACAAAUUGAGUGUUGAAACGGAAAAAAAUUGGCUCAUUUGCUUUUGGUAAAGUAGGAACAGAUUCAGAGAUAUCUCUUCAAAUAAAGCCUGCCUCUUAUACAGGCCUGUGUCAUAUAAAGGCCUGGUACCCUCAGCUUUGAAAACAAAUACAAGUCCCUGUUUACAUCUGAGGAUGAAGCCACAUGAACUCAAACUGUACUUCUGUUCUCAGGGGUUUCGGCUGCUGCUCGCUAGCCCUGAUGCCGCCUACAAACUCUUCAGGAACUUACAGAAUGACGGACACGGACAGGCCACACUGUUGGAGGGUAGGGGUCCGUCCUGCUCUGUGAGAUCUUAAUAAACUGAAGUUAAACUUAUAUUUACCUGAAAAUAGACAACAAAGACGACAAGUGAAGUGUGGAGACGGAAAAGUCUCUGUGUUUGAUGAAAACCUGAUGAUUCGCUCAACUUGAACAUGUUUGAUUUGGGGGUUAAAUCUAGAUUUACAUUUCUAUCUCUCUUUGACUUCAAUAAGGUCGGCGAGAGGGCGAACCACUGACAGUGGAUCAGAUACUUGCUGAUGAGACUUUGCAAAAUGGGAACAUGUACGUGCAGGUGAGUGGGAUUCAAGUGUUAGACCGAGCCGAGUGAAUACACACUAUCAAUGUUAUCGAAUGAACGUGUUUGAGUCCCAGAUCGUUGUAAUUUAAUUCAUUAAAGGGAAACAGAGAAGAAUGUGACACCAGUCUCAGCCAAUCAGAACGCUUUGAAGAAGGGAUGAUGGAGAGUAAACUGGUGGUUAUGCUAAUUAGAAUACUGACAGGGUGAGCAGGACUCUGAAACAACAGGGACCAUAACAACCCGCUCACUUUACAUGUCUCACCUGUUACCUGGUAUAAACAAGUUGGCAUGAAAUGUUGAUUGAAAGAGGAUUUGAUUGGUUUAAAAAUUAAUGUCCUGGUUUAUGAUCUGAGCUUCAGUUAAAAAAAAACUGAGCCGUUGAGGCAGAUUUGAAAAAAGCAGCGAGGUGAUUGGAUGGAGAGGUGGCACAGGAAGUUGACAAAUAGGAGCUGUCCAGGAUGGAUGGCUCCUAUUGGUCAAUGUUUUUGCAGCCCUGCUCCUGAUAGGAUGAACAGAUUUUUUUCUGUUCUUUUUUCUCUUCACUUUGUGGAGAUCGCACUACAGGACCAUGGUCGCCAUAGAAACGAGGUUCAUAAUAAUUACUAAUCUCUACAAUCCUCAACCAUGCCUUUAAAACUGACCUUUAAAAAAAACUCAGAUGUCUUCCUUCAUCAAGAGAGGACAGAAAUGUGGAGAGAGAGAGAGAGAGAGAGAAAGAGAGAGAGAGAGAGAGAGAGAGAGGGAGAGGCAGAGACCAGGCCCUGCAGAGAUCGGGGUUUGCUCCUUCAUAAAACUCCUGCAGGAUUAUUUUCGUAGACGUUUUCUCAGCUCUCCUUCUCUGAGUUUUGCAGAUCUUUGUCGUAUCUCCGGCAGGCCGUCUUCUUCUGCACAGACCACAGAAGGUGCUGCUUUGUUGUCCUGCUGGUGUGAUGGACAGUGUCUGCCAUGUUUUUGUUUCCCAGAGCUGCAUCGACUGGAACAGAGACGUCCUGAAGAGAGAGCUGGGCCUGGAGGAGGCAGACAUCAUCGACCUGCCGAUUCUCUUCCAGGUCCAUUGGUCAGGACCGGAGGAGCCGCACAGAGCUUCAGCUUUCUACCCUGACAUGGUAUUUCCAGAGAUGGAACAGAGAUGUGAUCAUGUUAGCUCUCAUUCUUGGUCUCAUGUUUGUUAUCAUCUGUUUCUAGGUGAACAUGGUGGUCUUGGGGAAAAACCUCGCCAUCCCAAAGCCGUAUGGCCCCAAAGUGAACGGCCGCUGUGCCCUGGAGACCGAAGUGAGCUCCCUGCUGGAGGGUCUGGGUCUCAGCUGCACCUUCAUCGAUGACUUCGCCUCCUACCAUGAAAUGCUGGGAGAGCUGCACUGCGGCUCCAACGUCCUCAGGAAACCGUUUGACUUCAAGUGGUGGAACAUGGAGAUGUGAGGGGAACUGGAGAGGGGACAGAGAUGGUUUCUGAAGAUACUUGAUAGAAAAUAAAACAUGUUCAGUCUGUUAAAGUUAGAAAAGCUUUUUUUGGAUCAUGUUUAUCGAUGGUUUCCUUUUCGCUUGUUUCUGUUUCAGCCUGUGACGAGUGUUUAAUGAAAAUCGCUUUAACACGUGAUUAUAAGUCCAUGCGGUGAUUUCCACUUCAGAGUCAUGUCUGUUUUUGAUGUGGUGCCUCCUGAAGGCCUGAGAAUCACAGCCAUCCAGUAUCCAGGAUGUACUUUAGUGCAGAUUCUUCUCCAGCACAUUUCUUUUUAAUAUUGUUUGCUGUAAACUGAUGAAAUCCAACAUUUGAUCUGUUUCAUUGCAGUUUUAUUUUCAUUAAAUAUCGGCUCUAAACAAGCUGUGAAAUCAUCAAA